CAACAAGGAAGGAAAUAGGGAUCGACAGAGGAGAAGAACAAAGAAAACAAAAACACAAAAACACAAAAAACACAAAAAAAAACGAAAAAAAGAGGAGAAGAGAAGCGAAAAGGCGAAGCUGUCUUUCUUCUCUUCUUUUCUUUUCUUACUAUCAAAUCUUUCUUUGUUUUCCUCCAUCUUAACAUCACAAAAUAAGUGAAGUUACUAUAAAUUUUUAAUAAGGCAGUCCCUUUUAAUUCCAACAUUUGCUGCUGCUAGGUGUCAAUCAUGACUUCGAGCAAGUUUAGAAGAGCCUUGGGGGCGGUGAAGGACCAGACGAGUAUAGGCCUAGCUAAAGUUGGUAGCAGCACAUCUCUGGCGGACCUAGACGUGGCCAUUGUGAAAGCAUCGAGGCACGAAGAGUACCCGACAGAGGAGAAAUACAUACGAGAGAUUCUGAGCUUGACAUGCUACUCGCGCGCCUACAUCAGCGCCUGCGUCAACACCAUCUCCAGGCGUCUCAACAAGACCAAGAACUGGAUCGUUGCCCUCAAAACCUUAAUGUUGGUCCAACGGCUGCUGUCCGAGGGCGACCCGGCUUAUGAACAGGAAAUAUUUUUCUCCACAAGGCGCGGCACUCGCUUCCUCAACAUGUCCGAUUUUCGGGACGCUUCCACGUCCAAUUCGUGGGACUACUCUGCGUUUGUGCGCACGUACGCCUUGUAUCUGGAUGAACGGCUUGAGUUCCGAAUGCAAAGCCGGCGCGGGAAACGUAGUGCCUUUGGAAUCGACGAAGAAGAGGAUCCUCAGGAGCCGCCCCAUAAUUAUGCUAACCAGCAGUCAUGUCCCAGAGCCACGCCUGUGCAUGAGAUGAAAGCUGAGAAGCUUUUUUCUAGGAUGCAGCAUGUGCAGCAGCUCCUUGAGCGCUUCUUAGCAUGUCGCCCAACAGGUGAAGCAAAGACCAACAGGGUAGUAAUAGUGGCGCUGUUCCCAAUAGUUAAAGAAAGCUUCCAGAUAUAUUAUGACAUAACAGAACUAAUGGGCGUCUUAAUCGAUCGCUUCAUGGAGCUGGAGAUCCACGACUGUGCCAAGGUGUUCGAGAUAUUCUGCCGCAUCGGAAAGGAGUUUGAUGAGCUGGACACAUUCUACAGCUGGUGCAAAACCAUUGGCAUUGCUCGCUCCUCAGAGUAUCCCGAGGUUGAGAAGAUUACACCCAAGAAACUGGAGGUGAUGGAGGAGUACAUACGCGACAAGUCAGCCUUGGCGCAGGGCAGGAAGUCGGUCAAGGCGCUGCUGGAGCAACAGAAGAUUGAGGAGAUAGAUCAAGAAACUAAUCGGGACGACGAUGAAGAAGAAGAAGAUAUGAAUGCCAUGAAGGCCUUGCCACCACCUGAAAGUUUUGUUGAGGAAAGCAAUAACAAGGAAAUAGAGCCGGUAAAGGAAGAAGAAACUAGGAAACCGCAACAAGAAGAAGGGGACCUGUUGAACUUGGGAGACGACGCUGUGUCGAGCGAAGAGCAUGCUGACAAAUUGGCGUUGGCUUUGUUCAAUGGCGCUACUGCAGAGGCAAAAACACGCCUUCCAGCAUGGGAAGCCUUUGCUGAUGAAGCUGAUUGGGAGACGGCGUUGGUCCAGUCGGCCAGUCACUUGUCCCAUCAGAAGGCGUCCCUCGGAGGCGGCUUUGACGUUUUGUUGUUGGAUGGAAUGUACCAGCAAGCUGAGAUAUCAGCGGCGAUGGCUGGCCCAGGAUCUGGAGUGAGUGGAAGUGCGAGUAGUGUUGCAUUGGGGUCAGCAGGACGGCCUGCAAUGCUAGCAUUGCCUGCACCACCAUCAUCAUCAGAUCAUCAUGAGUCUAGUAAAUCAAACGUACACGUGGACCCGUUUGCUGCCUCGUUGGUGGUGCCGCCGCCUUCAUACGUGCAAAUGUCGGACCUGGAGAAGAAGCAGAAGCUGUUGGUGGAAGAACAGUUCAUGUGGCAGCAGUAUGCAAGAGAUGGGAUGCAAGGGCAGCUUGGAUUGACAAAGCUACAACAUAAUCCUCACAACAUCAACAUGGGAGGUGAGGUUCAGUUCGGUAGCAUUUUAUGCUGGUAGGGCAAGUGAAAUAUGCAAAGGAUUAAGGUAAUCCAUGUAUCAUCGAAGUAUGAAAAAGGCAGACAUCUGAAGGCAAUCGGAGAAGGGGGAAACUUGUCAACCACCUGUGUUAACAAAUCAGGCAGGUGGCAUGAAAAUCCUAGCCGGACACUUGCAAAGUAUUGUCGAUGCGAAUCAGCAUAUUUCUUGGGACCCAAGAAUUCACAUACGCUUAUCUUUGAAGCCCUACCUACGAGUUCCAAACUCAAUUGAUAGUCCACCUGUAGUCAUUUCAAUAUCAUCGAAAGUGUUGCUCUUGCUUCUGAUCUAAUCAUCUUGGCGAGCAAAGAUCAAGGUCACCAAAAUAUGUUGACAUUAUGAAUUCCGCAUCGGAAAUUAAAUAGUCCAACUUGAAGCGUUGUGUAAUAGUUUAACAAAAACGAA
Molecule: RNA transcript, 2496 nt
Organism: Prunus dulcis (almond)
Lineage: Eukaryota; Viridiplantae; Streptophyta; Magnoliopsida; Rosales; Rosaceae
Gene name: putative clathrin assembly protein At1g03050
Exons: 4
Source: RefSeq, a predicted model, not a curated record